UACGGGGGGGGCAAGCGUUGUUCGGAAUUACUGGGCGUAAAGGGUUCGUAGGUGGCUUGCUAAGUCAGACGUGAAAUCCCUCAGCUUAACUGGGGAACUGCGUCUGAUACUGGCGAGCUUGAGUGCAGGAGAGGAACGCAGAAUUCCAGGUGUAGCGGUGAAAUGCGUAGAUAUCUGGAGGAAUACCGGUGGCGAAGGCGGCAUCCUGGACCGGCAUUGACGCUGAGGAGCGAAAGCUAGGGGAGCAAACGGG
This 253-nucleotide ribosomal RNA is filed under the name uncultured bacterium. RNAcentral describes it as "partial 16S ribosomal RNA". It matches the Rfam family "Bacterial small subunit ribosomal RNA", at positions 524 to 776 of the family's 1533-position model. The record is from RNAcentral.